CCUACGGGGGGCUGCAGUGGGGAAUUUUGGACAAUGGGGGCAACCCUGAUCCAGCCAUUCCGCGUGAGUGAAGAAGGCCUUCGGGUUGUAAAGCUCUUUCGCAAGGGAAGAAAACUUAUGAUCGAAUAAAUCAUGAGGUUGACGGUACCUUGAUAAGAAGCACCGGCUAACUACGUGCCAGCAGCCGCGGUAAUACGUAGGGUGCGAGCGUUAAUCGGAAUUACUGGGCGUAAAGCGUGCGCAGGCGGUUUUGUAAGUCGGAUGUGAAAUCCCCGGGCUCAACCUGGGAACUGCGUUCGAAACUGCAAGGCUAGAGUGUGUCAGAGGGGGGUAGAAUUCCACGUGUAGCAUUGAAAUGCGUAGAGAUGUGGAGGAAUACCAAUGGCGAAGGCAGCCCCCUGGGAUAACACUGACGCUCAUGCACGAAAGCGUGGGGAGCAAACAGGAUUA
This 450-nucleotide ribosomal RNA is filed under the name uncultured bacterium. Its description in RNAcentral is "bacterial SSU rRNA". It matches the Rfam family "Bacterial small subunit ribosomal RNA", at positions 338 to 780 of the family's 1533-position model. The record is from RNAcentral.